UGCAAGUCGAGCGGGGGAGGUUGCUUCGGUAACUGACCUAGCGGCGGACGGGUGAGUAAUACUUAGGAAUCUGCCUAUUAAUGGGGGACAACAUCUCGAAAGGGAUGCUAAUACCGCAUACGCCCUACGGGGGAAAGCAGGGGAUCACUUGUGACCUUGCGUUAAUAGAUGAGCCUAAGUCGGAUUAGCUAGUUGGUGGGGUAAAGGCCUACCAAGGCGACGAUCUGUAGCGGGUCUGAGAGGAUGAUCCGCCACACUGGGACUGAGACACGGCCCAGACUCCUACGGGAGGCAGCAGUGGGGAAUAUUGGACAAUGGGGGGAACCCUGAUCCAGCUAUGCCGCGUGUGUGAAGAAGGCCUUAUGGUUGUAAAGCACUUUAAGCGAGGAGGAGGCUCUCUUGGUUAAUACCCAAGAAGAGUGGACGUUACUCGCAGAAUAAGCACCGGCUAACUCUGUGCCAGCAGCCGCGGUAAUACAGAGGGUGCGAGCGUUAAUCGGAUUUACUGGGCGUAAAGCGUGCGUAGGCGGCUUUUUAAGUCGGAUGUGAAAUCCCCGAGCUUAACUUGGGAAUUGCAUUCGAUACUGGGAAGCUAGAGUAUGGGAGAGGAUGGUAGAAUUCCAGGUGUAGCGGUGAAAUGCGUAGAGAUCUGGAGGAAUACCGAUGGCGAAGGCAGCCAUCUGGCCUAAUACUGACGCUGAGGUACGAAAGCAUG
Molecule: ribosomal RNA, 715 nt
Filed under: uncultured bacterium
Lineage: Bacteria
Description: bacterial SSU rRNA
Rfam family: Bacterial small subunit ribosomal RNA
Source: RNAcentral